UAUUUUCACAGUUCUACAAAUCUGGACUGGAAUGUGUUUUUGUGUUAACUAAAAUCCUUAUUCAAUUCAAAUAUUCAUGGGUGAUACUGUUCAAGUCGUCAGAUCUUUCCUUUUCUUUUGUUCAUCAUCUGCCUAUUAAAGCGCAAUUAAAGAACUGAUGAUGACACUAUCCAUAUGCUACAGAAUGUGUCACAUUCAGACGACUUGUAUUUCUUGCUCUUGAGGGAGGGUAUCAUGUAUUGGGGCCACCUGGUGUUAAUAAGGUCCAGCUUUGAGUCCAUUGCCUUUGGCAGAAAUAAUAGUGAUGGCAACUCGUGUCUGUCAAUCGACAAUGUCAUUGGAAUGUGCAUCUGGACAUAAGACCAAUGCAGGCAUCAGAACAAGGACCUGUCCUCGCAGAAGUGGUAUAAGUCCGCAUGAAGAGAAGAACAGUUGAAGACUCUGCACAUAAAGACUCCCUUUUCAGCUGAUGAUUAUGGACUGUAAGUUUCAUGAAAGGCAGUGGAGCUUCAUCCAGAGAGUGUGCAGUGCGCUAGCCGCUAUCAUUGUUUUUUCCCCUGGCUUGAUGCAAAUGGCCGCUGCUCCCAAGUUGCCUAUCCUUGGCGGGACAGAUUGAAGGUUGUCGUCCUCCUUCCAUUUGGUUGAAUACUUAAUGAAAUCAGUUAUAGAUUAUGACUGGACUGAACAUUCCUAGUUGUGGUUGGUAUAGGACAAAGUUUAAACGUUAUAUGCUGAUAUGAUCUCUGGUCCAGCUCUACUUGAUCCGAGACAUGCGUAUAUCUGCACCAAGCAAGCUGGGUCAUGCAUUCCGUACUCAGUGUCAAAUCUGAAUUCUACCACAAGUACGUACAAUCCUAGAUGGGCAAGACGAUGGCCGCGUGGCGUUCACAGGGGAAUUUGACC
Panicum virgatum (switchgrass) is the source of this 903-nucleotide long non-coding RNA. RefSeq lists it as uncharacterized. The transcript is spliced from 4 exons. The record is from RefSeq and is a predicted model, not a curated record. Lineage: Eukaryota; Viridiplantae; Streptophyta; Magnoliopsida; Poales; Poaceae.